UUAAAUUACUGAUAACAAAAAAUUUAUUGUGGGAUUAAUAGUUGGGAAAAUUUUAUGUUUACCACUUUCAUGGUACCACUUUUCAUCUUUACCACCAUUAAAGGGACACUUUCAAAAAUAUUUUCUUCAUUAAGUGGCAAAAGACUCUUAUACCCUUGUUCUCUAUAUAUAUAAUAAAUCAUUAUUUAAAUAAAUAAAAAUAAUUUUUAAUGCUUUUAUAUUAUAUUUUUUUCAAAUUCGAUCCUUUUAUAAUUUUUUUUAAUUUUUUUUUCGAAUUUUGUAUUUUAUUUUUUUUUCAAAAUUUAUUUUUUAAAAUCGAAAAUUAUGUUUGAAAUUUUUUUUAUAUUUUUAAGUAUUUAUUUAUAUAUUUAUUAGAAUCCUAAAUUUCACAUUCCAAAAUCGCUUCUCCAACCCUAAGUCUAGAUUAGUUAACUCUAUGGAUAUA
Molecule: long non-coding RNA, 445 nt
Filed under: Brassica rapa (field mustard)
Lineage: Eukaryota; Viridiplantae; Streptophyta; Magnoliopsida; Brassicales; Brassicaceae
Description: long non-coding RNA (BRAP_LNC006308)
Source: RNAcentral